Molecule: ribosomal RNA, 253 nt
Filed under: uncultured bacterium
Lineage: Bacteria
Description: partial 16S ribosomal RNA
Rfam family: Bacterial small subunit ribosomal RNA
Source: RNAcentral
UACGGAGGGUGCAAGCGUUAUCCGGAUUCACUGGGUUUAAAGGGUGCGUAGGCGGAUAAGUAAGUCAGUGGUGAAAUCUCCGAGCUUAACUCGGAAACUGCCGUUGAUACUAUUUAUCUUGAAUAUCAUGGAGGUAAGCGGAAUAUGUCAUGUAGCGGUGAAAUGCUUAGAUAUGACAUAGAACACCGAUAGCGAAGGCAGCUUACUACAUGUUAAUUGACGCUGAGGCACGAAAGCGUGGGGAGCAAACAGG